This 72-nucleotide transfer RNA is filed under the name Candidatus Iainarchaeum sp. Its description in RNAcentral is "tRNA-Ala". It matches the Rfam family "tRNA". Rfam says of the family: Transfer RNA (tRNA) molecules are approximately 80 nucleotides in length. Their secondary structure includes four short double-helical elements and three loops (D, anti-codon, and T loops). The record is from RNAcentral. Lineage: Archaea; Nanobdellati; Candidatus Iainarchaeota; Candidatus Iainarchaeia; Candidatus Iainarchaeales; Candidatus Iainarchaeaceae.
GGGCCUGUGGCGCAAUGGUAGCGCGUCUCGUUUGCAACGAGAAGGUUGCGGGUUCAAGUCCCGCCGGGUCCA